RNAcentral lists this ribosomal RNA (500 nucleotides) under uncultured bacterium. Its description in RNAcentral is "partial 16S ribosomal RNA". It matches the Rfam family "Bacterial small subunit ribosomal RNA", at positions 30 to 523 of the family's 1533-position model. The record is from RNAcentral.
AUUGAACGCUGGCGGCAUGCCUUACACAUGCAAGUCGAACGGCAGCACGGGAGCAAUCCUGGUGGCGAGUGGCGAACGGGUGAGUAAAGUAUCGGAACGUGCCCAGUCGUGGGGGAUAACGUAGCGAAAGUUACGCUAAUACCGCAUACGAUCUAUGGAUGAAAGCGGGGGAUCGCAAGACCUCGCGCGGUUGGAGCGGCCGAUAUCAGAUUAGGUAGUUGGUGGGGUAACGGCUCACCAAGCCGACGAUCUGUAGCUGGUCUGAGAGGACGACCAGCCGCACUGGGACUGAGACACGGCCCAGACUCCUCCGGGAGGCGGCAGUGGGGAAUUUUGGAAAAUGGGCGAAAGCCUGAUCCAGCCAUGCCGCGUGCAGGAUGAAGGCCUUCGGGUUGUAAACUGCUUUUGUACGGAACGAAAAGGUUUGGCCUAAUAAGCUGAGCUCAUGACGGUACCGUAAGAAUAAGCACCGGCUAACUACGUGCCAGCAGCCGCCGUAA